RNAcentral lists this unclassified non-coding RNA (345 nucleotides) under soil metagenome. RNAcentral's name for it is "partial contains 5.8S ribosomal RNA, internal transcribed spacer 2, and large subunit ribosomal RNA". The stretch from base 1 to 120 matches the Rfam family "5.8S ribosomal RNA", at positions 35 to 154 of the family's 154-position model. The record is from RNAcentral.
GAUGAAGAACGUAGCGAAAUGCGAUACUUGGUGUGAAUUGCAGAAUCCCGUGAACCAUCGAGUCUUUGAACGCACAUUGCGCCCCCUGGUAUUCCGGGGGGCAUGCCUGUCCGUGCGUCAUUGCUGCCCUCAAGCACGGCUUGUGUGUUGGGCCUCCGUCCUCCUCCCGGGGGACGGGCCCGAAAGGCAGCGGCGGCACCGCGUCCGGUCCUCGAGCGUAUGGGGCUUCGUCACCCGCUCUUGUAGGCCCGGCCGGCGCUUGCCGACACAUCAAUCUUUUUUCCAGGUUGACCUCGGAUCAGGUAGGGAUACCCGCUGAACUUAAGCAUAUCAAUAAGCGGAGGA